Molecule: long non-coding RNA, 563 nt
Organism: Musa acuminata AAA Group (dessert banana)
Lineage: Eukaryota; Viridiplantae; Streptophyta; Magnoliopsida; Zingiberales; Musaceae
Exons: 2
Source: RefSeq, a predicted model, not a curated record
AUCGGUUGCAUGUAGACAAUAGUAUAGAAUUCAUCGGGAAGUUGUUGUUCAGUUCUAAGCAAGGGUCAGAAGUGCUGAAAACUGUUCGCCCUGCAGGCCAGCCUUUAGUGGAUGAUUGGUCCUGCCUCAAAUCGAUGGUGAGGACUUUUGAAGCACACUGUGGAUCUCUAUCUCAGUAUGGGAUGAAACAUCUGCAAUGCCGGUAUCAGCAAGGAGAUGAUGGCUGAGGUGUCUGCUGAAGCUUCCAUUAGCAUUCCUGCCGGUCAGUGGAGUUCUCUCCAGAAGGGAUUCAGUGCCUGAGGUGACAAUGAAAGACGGCUAGUAGUAUGUUACUCAUUGUGCAUAGUAUAUAAUGAAGUUGCUUGGAUAUCUUCUCCUGCAAUGUGAAUAUAUUGCUGAAGGGCUGGAGAAAUUUGCAUCCGUUUGUGUCACUUAGUCCAUGGAUUAUUGUAGAAAAUUCGUGCCUGAUACUUGAGGCUAUGGCUGAGCUCAUGAGUGGCUCUUUGUUAGAAGUCUGUGUUAUCGUUGGGCAUCCAUAAUGAGCUAUUAUGCAAUUAAACUGC